This 1492-nucleotide long non-coding RNA is filed under the name Piliocolobus tephrosceles (Ugandan red Colobus). RNAcentral's name for it is "lncRNA (ENSPTEG00000015910.1)". Lineage: Eukaryota; Metazoa; Chordata; Mammalia; Primates; Cercopithecidae. The record is from RNAcentral.
CAGUAAUAUAGGCAGUAAUACAUAUACGAGUGCAGUAGACACAUGUACAAAUACAAACUGCAAUUUACGCUACCAUAAUAAUCACUACAGCAAUAUAAGUAACAUCAGUAACAUCAGUAAAUAUAAUAAUAUUUAUGUCACAAUUAUAAGCAGAAUAUACGAUUUCACUCAACGAUGUCCUUUAUAUUAUGAACCAAAUUUAAAACUGUUUCCAUUUUACUUACAUAAUAAAAAAAAAAAUUCUACAAAUCAGAAUAUUUCAAAUAAUGCAUUAAGUGAUACAACAAACUUUGAUCAGUGUAAGGAUUCAUAUAACGACGAUGUAAUUAACAUUUUUAAAAACAAUAAAAAUUGCCACUACUUUUUUGAAAAUUUACAGUUCAACAUAGAUAAUCAGUUUUUUUAAACAAUGUUUAAAGAAAUGUGAUACCUUGAAAAAACCAAUUGAAUUAGGAGUUAUUGAAGAAGAUGUUAUAGAUAGUGGUAUUAAAAACAAUAAUAAUAAUAAUAAUAAUACUAACAUUAGUAAUAAUAAUAAUAGUACUAACAUUAGUAAUAAUAAUAAUAAUAAUAAUACUAACAUUAGUAAUAAUAAUAAUAAUANNNNNNNNNNUAAUAAUAAUAAUAAUAAUACUAACAUUAGUAAUAAUAAUAAUAAUAAUAAUACUAACAUUAGUAAUAUUAUUAAUGGAACUACAAUUGUUAGUGAUACAUAUAAUAGUGAUUGCAGUUACAAUAGUACCAUAAAUGAUAGUCUCGAUAAUUCAUGGUUAACGGAAAAAAAACAAUUUUUAAAUACAUUUAAUAGUUCUUCUGAAAAUAAAGAAAAUGUUUUAAAAUGUAUAGAUGAAUUUUAUUACAUUGCAAUCGAUUUUGAUAAAACAAUUAUAAAAACAGAUUCGUAUAACUUUUUUUUUAAGUUAUUAAUUGAAGAGUAUUAUGGUAAUUGUAGUAGUACAAGUAAUAAUAACAAUAAUAAUACUAUCCCUACUGUAGGUACAUGUAUUACAACAUUUACAGAUAACAAACAAAUAAUACUAACAGAAGAUGAGAUAAAUUUUUUUGACAGUUUUACUAUAGAUAAAAUGAAAAAUAAAAAAGAACACACAAUUGAAGAAAGAGUUUUAUAUUUUAAUAAAAUUUCUGAAUGGUUUAGUUUGAAAGAAAAAAAGGUUUUAAAAGAAUUAGAACAACAAGAUAAAAUAGAAACAGUAUAUUCAGAUUCUUAUUACCACUACCUUAAUGCAAUUGAUAAAAUACAUGUAAACUUUACUAUGUUAAUAUCUUAUUAUGAUGUAUUAAAAGGUGUUGAUUUUGAUUUAAUGAAUAAAAUAAUAAAUGAAAAUUAUGAAAACUUUCAAUUAAAUGAAUAUUUUUUAAACGUAUUUUUAAACUUAAUUAAUUACAAACAACAAAAUAUGAAAACAUUUUAUUUCGAUGUUAUAACAUUAAAUUUUAAAAAACAAAUUUGUCUAAACACAUUGAAUCAGAA